GAUGAACGCUGGCGGCGUGCCUAAUACAUGCAAGUAGAACGCUGAAGGAGGAGCUUGCUCUUCUGGAUGAGUUGCGAACGGGUGAGUAACGCGUAGGUAACCUGCCUGGUAGCGGGGGAUAACUAUUGGAAACGAUAGCUAAUACCGCAUGACAACAGUUAUUGCAUGAUAACUGUUUAAAAGGGGCAACUGCUCCACUACCAGAUGGACCUGCGUUGUAUUAGCUAGUUGGUGAGGUAAUGGCUCACCAAGGCGACGAUACAUAGCCGACCUGAGAGGGUGAUCGGCCAAACUGGGACUGAGAAACGGCCCAGACUCCUACGGGAGGCAGCAGUAGGGAAUCUUCGGCAAUGGACGGAAGUCUGACCGAGCAACGCCGCGUGAGUGAAGAAGGUUUUCGGAUCGUAAAGCUCUGUUGUAAGAGAAGAACGAGUGUGAGAGUGGAAAGUUCACACUGUGACGGUAUCUUACCAGAAAGGGACGGCUAACUACGUG
This 495-nucleotide ribosomal RNA is filed under the name uncultured bacterium. Its description in RNAcentral is "partial 16S ribosomal RNA". It matches the Rfam family "Bacterial small subunit ribosomal RNA", at positions 28 to 507 of the family's 1533-position model. The record is from RNAcentral.